AGCUCCAAUAGCGUAUACUAAAGUUGUUGCAGUUAAAAAGCUCGUAGUUGGAUUUCUGCGCGGGCGGGGCGUCCACCGUCCUGAGUGGCGGGUUGGGCAGCAACGCCCGCGCAUCCUGCCGCGAACCACGCUAUCAUUCAUUUGGUGGCGUCUUGGGGAUCGGCUCGUUUACUUUGAGAAAAAUAGAGUGUUCAAAGCAGGCAACUCGCCUUGAAUAAUGUAGCAUGGAAUAAUGAUAAAGGACUUUGGUUCUAUUUUGUUGGUGUUCGGGACCGAAGUAAUGAUUGAUAGGGACAGUUGGGGGGCGUC
This 309-nucleotide ribosomal RNA is filed under the name uncultured eukaryote. RNAcentral's name for it is "SSU rRNA". It matches the Rfam family "Eukaryotic small subunit ribosomal RNA", at positions 587 to 893 of the family's 1831-position model. The record is from RNAcentral.